GGUGGCUCAAUGGUAGAGCGUUUGCCUUGCAUGCAUAAGGCCCUGGGUUUGAUUCCUCAGCACCA
This 65-nucleotide transfer RNA is filed under the name Dipodomys ordii (Ord's kangaroo rat). It matches the Rfam family "tRNA". Rfam says of the family: Transfer RNA (tRNA) molecules are approximately 80 nucleotides in length. The record is from Rfam by way of RNAcentral. Lineage: Eukaryota; Metazoa; Chordata; Mammalia; Rodentia; Heteromyidae.